UCCCUGGUGGCCUAGAGGUUAUGGAUCCAGCACUGUCACUGCUGUGGCUCAGGUUCAAUCCCUGGCCAGGGAA
This is a non-coding RNA of Sus scrofa (pig), 73 nucleotides long. The record is from Rfam. NCBI's taxonomy places the organism in Eukaryota, Metazoa, Chordata, Mammalia, Artiodactyla, Suidae.